RNAcentral lists this long non-coding RNA (372 nucleotides) under Lathyrus oleraceus (garden pea). RNAcentral describes it as "Pisum sativum (pea) long non-coding RNA (PSAT_LNC037848)". The record is from RNAcentral. Lineage: Eukaryota; Viridiplantae; Streptophyta; Magnoliopsida; Fabales; Fabaceae.
CAUCCCCUAAAGACAGUGGAUCAACAAUGAAGCUCAUCCCUGGGAUCAAUAGGGUUUAUCAGUUCUAGUUGUAAUUUCUUUUUUGCUAAGUGUUUUUUGUAUUAAAAGUUGUACUCUUUGGGAAAUAAUUUUAAUAAAAUGAGCAUGCAUGUUUUUGAAAUCAAUCCAUUCGUUUACACUCUCUUUCUUAUGCCAUCAUGAAAAUAAAAAUAAAAAGCAAUCAAACCUUUUAUUCUCACCUCUCAUCUAUUAACAAACUUAUGAGGAGAAUGAUGUAAAAAAAAAACAACUAAAUUUGCUAAGUAUGCUUUUAAUAGUAAGACCUGGCUGACGAUGUAAGGCAUUGUUUCACUUCCCCAAACACUGGAGAAA